AGAGUUUGAUCAUGGCUCAGGAUGAACGCUAGCUACAGGCUUAACACAUGCAAGUCGAGGGGCAGCAUGUUGGUUGCUUGCAACCAAUGAUGGCGACCGGCGCACGGGUGAGUAACGCGUAUCCAACCUACCCUUGUCCAUCGGAUAACCCGUCGAAAGGCGGCCUAACACGAUAUGCGGUUCACAGCAAGGCAUCUAAGGUGAACGAAAUGUGAAGGAGAAGGAUGGGGAUGCGUCUGAUUAGGCGUUGUUGGCGGGGUAACGGCCACCAAGGCUACGAUCAGUAGGGGUUCUGACGAGGAAGGUCCCCCANAUUGGAACUGAGACACGGUCCAAACUCCUACGGGAGCA
RNAcentral lists this ribosomal RNA (351 nucleotides) under uncultured bacterium. Its description in RNAcentral is "bacterial SSU rRNA". It matches the Rfam family "Bacterial small subunit ribosomal RNA", at positions 8 to 349 of the family's 1533-position model. The record is from RNAcentral.